AACCCGCCUGCGUGAAGUUGGAAUUGCUAGUAAUCGCGGAUCAGCAUGCCGCGGUGAAUACGUUCCCGGGCCUUGUACACACCGCCCGUCACACCAUGGGAGCCGGUAAUACCCGAAGUCAGUAGCUUAACCGCAAGGAGGGCGCUGCCGAAGGUGGGAUUGGUAAUUGGGGUGAAGUCGUAACAAGGUACC
This 192-nucleotide ribosomal RNA is filed under the name uncultured bacterium. RNAcentral describes it as "partial 16S ribosomal RNA". It matches the Rfam family "Bacterial small subunit ribosomal RNA", at positions 1309 to 1500 of the family's 1533-position model. The record is from RNAcentral.